Molecule: ribosomal RNA, 377 nt
Filed under: uncultured bacterium
Lineage: Bacteria
Description: bacterial SSU rRNA
Rfam family: Bacterial small subunit ribosomal RNA
Source: RNAcentral
UAAUACGGAGGGUGCAAACGUUGCUCGGAAUCAUUGGGCGUAAAGCGCGUGUAGGCGGCUUUGAAAGUCGAGUGUGAAAGCCCUGGGCUCAACCCAGGAAGUGCGCUCGAUACUGCUUAGCUAGAGUACGGGAGAGGGUGGCGGAAUUCCCGGUGUAGAGGUGAAAUUCGUAGAUAUCGGGAGGAACACCAGUGGCGAAGGCGGCCACCUGGACCGAUACUGACGCUGAGACGCGAAAGCGUGGGUAGCAAACAGGAUUAGAUACCCUGGUAGUCCACGCCGUAAACGAUGAGUGCUAGGUGUCGCGGGUAUUGACCCCUGCGGUGCCGCAGUUAACGCAUUAAGCACUCCGCCUGGGGAGUACGGCCGCAAGGCUA